GAGAUUAGGGGCCUCCGGCCCCGAACCCUCCCACCCGUGCUUACCGACCUUUUGUUGCUUUGGCGGGCUGGUGGCCGGGUUGAAUCCCGGCCGCCGCUGCGUGCCCGCCGAAAGCCCACCCAAACUCGUUUACCGGUGACGUCUGAGGAACCAAACAAACAAUCAAAACUUUCAACAACGGAUCUCUUGGUUCU
RNAcentral lists this unclassified non-coding RNA (194 nucleotides) under rhizosphere metagenome. RNAcentral's name for it is "partial ribosomal RNA internal transcribed spacer region". The record is from RNAcentral.